Molecule: ribosomal RNA, 466 nt
Filed under: uncultured bacterium
Lineage: Bacteria
Description: partial 16S ribosomal RNA
Rfam family: Bacterial small subunit ribosomal RNA
Source: RNAcentral
GACGAACGCUGGCGGCGUGCUUAACACAUGCAAGUCGAACGGAAAGGCCCUGCUUUUGUGGGGUGCUCGAGUGGCGAACGGGAGUAACACGUGAGUAACCUGCCCUUGACUUUGGGAUAACUUCAGGAAACUGGGGCUAAUACCGGAUAGGAGCUCCUGCUGCAUGGGGGGGGUUGGAAAGUUUCGGCGGUUGGGGAUGGACUCGCGGCUUAUCAGCUUGUUGGUGGGGUAGUGGCUUACCAAGGCUUUGACGGGUAGCCGGCCUGAGAGGGUGACCGGCCACAUUGGGACUGAGAUACGGCCCAGACUCCUACGGGAGGCAGCAGUGGGGAAUAUUGCACAAUGGGCGGAAGCCUGAUGCAGCAACGCCGCGUGCGGGAUGACGGCCUUCGGGUUGUAAACCGCUUUCGCCUGUGACGAAGCGUGAGUGACGGUAAUGGGUAAAGAAGCACCGGCUAACUACGUG